This is a non-coding RNA of Microcebus murinus (gray mouse lemur), 228 nucleotides long. The record is from RefSeq and is a predicted model, not a curated record. Lineage: Eukaryota; Metazoa; Chordata; Mammalia; Primates; Cheirogaleidae.
GUCGCGAGCGGCGCCCCCUCACCUGGGCCGGCCCCAGCACCGCACAGGAGGCGGGGAAGCAGUGCGGGCCUUCCGCCUCCAUCUAGGCAUGUCUUGUCCCCAGGCCCCAUGCUGUGCCCAAGGGACCUCAGUCUGCACUCAAGUUGCACCCCCUACAGUAAAGGAAGAAGACAAGGUCAGGGCACCAGUUCCUUCCUGAGCCAUGCCAAGUGCUGCCCCAGAGGAUGA